This 253-nucleotide ribosomal RNA is filed under the name uncultured bacterium. Its description in RNAcentral is "partial 16S ribosomal RNA". It matches the Rfam family "Bacterial small subunit ribosomal RNA", at positions 524 to 776 of the family's 1533-position model. The record is from RNAcentral.
UACGUAGGGCGCGAGCGUUGUCCGGAAUUAUUGGGCGUAAAGAGCGUGUGGGCGGCCAGGUAGGUCCGCUGUGAAAACUCGAGGCUCAACCUCGAGAUGUCGGCGGAAACCAUCUGGCUAGAGUCCGGAAGAGGAGAGUGGAAUUCCUGGUGUAGCGGUGAAAUGCGCAGAUAUCAGGAAGAACACCCGUGGCGAAGGCGGCUCUCUGGGACGGUACUGACGCUGAGACGCGAAAGCGUGGGGAGCGAACAGG